UUUUGCAACAAAAUAUUCACUUCAGAGUAACUCGUAAAACUACUGAACAAUCUAAAAGCAGGCAUACGAAAUACUUCGGACUGUUACAAGCAACAAGUGAAAAUGACUUCUUGCAGCUUUUCUUUAGCCAAAGACAAAGUCCUCACAUGAGAGACCUUUCCAAACUAGCUGUCAUUUGAACGGGAAUUUGCCGACUUUCUAGACAAUGACAAGAUUAUCGCCAUAUUCAAUUCCAAACCCCGACGCCUGCGUCUGGUCUAGAAGGCCAAAACCUCACCGCAGAGGGGUGGCUAAGGACCAGAAUCAACUGAGCAAGAAGCCAAGAAGAAACAGCCUAGCGACCAGCAGAAGACAAGUGGAUGAGACAGGGUGUGAGGAGGGGAGAGGGACUGGAGGCUGGAACAGUCGGAGCUAUCAAGUAGCCUUUAGAUUGUCCUGGCUCACUGGAGCCACUUGGGAGCUGCCCAGGGAGAGCUCUGCACUGCCCUGGCUAACUAAUUCCAACUCUGCUCCCAGCAGAAAUCCUGGUUGACAGAAGUUGCAUCUGGAUCAGACAGCCCAACCUGUUCUUAGAAUGAGGAUGUUAACAAGUUCGGUCAUCUGGAAGCCUAAGACGUACGUUUUAAUUUUUACACAGUGAUGCUAUAAAAUAAGGUGAUUAGGAAGAGCCUUAACAAUCAGUAUUUAAACGUGUGUAAUGGAGAUUUAC
Lepisosteus oculatus (spotted gar) is the source of this 709-nucleotide long non-coding RNA. RefSeq lists it as uncharacterized. NCBI's taxonomy places the organism in Eukaryota, Metazoa, Chordata, Actinopteri, Semionotiformes, Lepisosteidae. The record is from RefSeq and is a predicted model, not a curated record.